CCCAAAUCAAACAUCUGUUCCUUCCCAUUUCGUUUUCUCCUUCCUUUGUACUCUUCUUUCUUUCUUUCUUUCUUUCUCUGGGUGUGUGAGUGUCUAAGCCUUUGAGCUCCUUUGCACCACCAUUCUUGCUAUCCUCAAAAUCACUAUUCUGUUUCUUUAAAAUUCUUCUUGACGAAAUUUCCUUCUGUCCAACUUUCCUUUGGUUUCAGAUAGCAACGAGGAUUUGGAAAAAAUAUCCCCAAGACUUCCCAAAAACUUCUCCCCCUGAAAUCAAACAUCAAAAAUUUUAGGUCUCUGUCUCAAAUGACAUUCAGGUUUCACAGUCAACAAUGAGAACUAUUUCAACUUUUCAGCCACUUCUUCCACAGAUGAUUAUAUCUAUUUCAACGAGGAGAAAAUCAGAAUUGGGACUUUAUAGUUGAUCACCCAUAGCAAGGUAAGUUCUAAUUCUUGACUUUAAAAGCAAUAAUGGAAUGAUUUAUGCGAAAUUGAGACUGUUAUUGUGGUAAUGUUGGGAUUUUAGAAUGAAUGUACAAAUUCUUAUGAAAUUUGUCCACACAAAAAAAAUGCACAUAUCAUGUUCGAUAAAUUCUUAAGCUCAAAUUAUAAUUCUUUUUUGGGUGGGUUCUUUUUGUUUUUGUUGUUGUUAGUAUCAUUUUUCACUUAAUAUGAUACUUAGUCCAACACAUUUGAUAAUUAUUAAGGUUUAGAAUAAUUUUUUUUUCUUGAUUUUCAUUAUUAUUGAACUUAGAAUAGUAAAAUUAUAAUUUUCAAAAGUUUGAUGAGUAAAAAACUCUAAAGUAUACCAAGUGCAAACUUUAAGAAUAAAAGUAUGACUCAUUUCCAAUGGAGGUAGAAUAUCAUAAAGAAAUAUAGAAAGUCAAAUUGGUCUCUCAGUUUGGGUUAGAGCACGGGUAAAAGUUUCGGCCUGGUUUUAGCUCUUGCCAAAUUGCAACCUUGAUAUGAGCGGCGAAAUUUCCCUUUACUGGGUUUACUUUCUGCAGCUCAUUGAUUUGUUUUAGUGUAGUUCAAAACUGUUAGGAAGUGGUCAUGUCAGACAAGUAUUUUUAUUUACUAGCUGUGGUAAGACAAAAUACAUGGUUCCUGGAAAAUCAUGUAUUUCCUUGACUUAAAACUUCAUUCUAAACUCCCUCUUUUUAUACCCCAAAAGAAUUGCAUAUGUUUGUGCAGUGUUUUUUUCCCCAAUCUAAAUCAUCUUAGCAAUGGCUUAUGCCCCUCUUCAUCUCCUUUGCCUAUUAGUAUUUGUCUUGCAGGUGUGUCCUUUGUCGGAAAAGAGCUGUUUAUCUUACUGCAUGAUAAUAUAAAUUGAAUAAUAAUAAGCAUUUCGAAGAAAUUAGUAAUCCUUUCUGUAAGCCUUGCUCAUUGUUUUGAUUCCAGUAAUAAUGACUGCUUUAAGUAUUAAGAUUAUUAUUGCUUUUGCGCAAAAUAAAUAAUUACUGUUGAAUGAUUUACACGCAAAAGUAUCAUUAUUACUGUUGAUUGAACUGAACUCAUAUACUACUGUUGGAUACUGAUAUUUUCCUUACCUCUUAAUUGAACUGAACUCAUAUACUACUGUUGUGUCUCACUACUGCACUAUUUGCAUUAUAUUGACUUGAUUUUGGUGCUGACAGUAUAUGUAUAUUUCAAACAUCAGGCAAUAACAUCCGGAAGAAUUAAUAUAGAAAAGUCUGGCCUAUUAAAAGAAAAUGAAAUACUAAAAGGUAAAAAAGAACAGUAUUAAGGAACUUCGGGUUGAGAUCUUAUAAAGGGUAAUUUGAAAUUUAAAGUACCUUCAAUACCCAUAUGUAGGGGAAGUUCUGAUCCCUAAAACGGAAGAUGGGUCUGGUAAUAUGUGUUGGAGCAAGUAGUGGUUGGAAACCAUGUUUUAUUCCCCCCUGUUUUUGAUGAAUGUUUUACAUAAAAGUUACAUUUUUCAAGAGUUUAUAUUUUAAGUAGGAAGAAGCACCUAAAUUACUUCAGUUUUUCAAGAGUUUAUAUUUUGAUUAGGUGACGACCUUGGUCCAGUAGGUACUAUUGUUUUAAAAAGAGUUGAUAUUCCCAUGAUUUACUCGCAAAAUUAGAUUAAAUCUGAACCGUUAUUGUAUGAAAAAUACCAAGCUAAAAAGAAGAAAGAAGAUAAAAGAAAAAGAAAAGCCCCAUUUCACCUGGGUUGAGCUUGGUGAGAUAGAUUACUGACUUCUGACAUUGUCCGAUUUUAUGAAAAAUACCAAGCUAAAAACCAUUAAACUUAGCUUGACCUUCUUUAAGGGUGCGUGGAUGACACUUUCCUAUAAAAGGAAUGCUUGAUGACUCUUUCUAUAGUUUCGUUUUCAAACAACCUCUUACCAUGUAUUGGGUCUAAUUUUCCUUUUUUUAAUUGUACGAAUCAACUGAGUUAUGAAAUUUAGGUUGUCUUUUUCCUUAACUUUAGUUCUGAAAAUUGGAUGUGUAUGUACUUUUGUGUAUGUAUAUUAUGUAAUUCAUGUUCAUUAUCCAUAACUUAUGAAAUUUAUUGUCUAGCUACAACCGUUUCAACUGCACAAUCAUCGACCAAUGGAUGAUGUUGUUAUAUUUUGUGGUGUAAGUUUAUUAUCUGAUUAACUCUCUCUAAAUAAAUCUUAUUGAUUUUUUUUUGCUUUUAAGUAGCAUUUUCUUACCCUGAAGGAGGAAAAAAGGUCUGAUACUUUGGAGAAUGCCAAAUUUAAGGAGAAAGAAAAAUCAACCUUUUCUAGCCAAGGAACAAAAUAUAAAGAGUGCCAACUGGUAUCACUUUUAAUCAUAUUCUCUAUUUUCUGCAUGUAUGUAUUUUUUGUGUUCUGCCUUUUGUAAAGUUAGCUAAUUAUACUUGGUUAUAAUGAUUUUGGGUAUGGAAUGAUGGUUUAUUUGGUGGUUUGGAUAUGUAUGGAUGAUUGUAAGUUUUGUAAACAUGUUUAGAUUUUUCUGGAUAUCUAUUUUUAAAGAAAACUCUGCCG
Molecule: long non-coding RNA, 2975 nt
Filed under: Panax ginseng (ginseng)
Lineage: Eukaryota; Viridiplantae; Streptophyta; Magnoliopsida; Apiales; Araliaceae
Description: long non-coding RNA (PGIN_LNC007199)
Source: RNAcentral